GUCCUACGGGACGCAGCAGUGGGGAAUAUUGCGCAAUGGGCGAAAGCCUGACGCAGCGACGCCGCGUGAGGGAUGAAGGCUUUCGGGUUGUAAACUUCUUUUAUUCGGGACGAAGAAAGUGACGGUACCGAAUGAAUAAGCCACGGCUAACUACGUGCCAGCAGCCGCGGUAAUACGUAGGUGGCAAGCGUUAUCCGGAUUUAUUGGGUGUAAAGGGCGUGUAGGCGGGAAUGCAAGUCAGAUGUGAAAACUCAGGGCUCAACCCUGAGCCUGCAUUUGAAACUGUAUUUCUUGAGUGCUGGAGG
Molecule: ribosomal RNA, 305 nt
Filed under: uncultured bacterium
Lineage: Bacteria
Description: bacterial SSU rRNA
Rfam family: Bacterial small subunit ribosomal RNA
Source: RNAcentral